RNAcentral lists this ribosomal RNA (433 nucleotides) under uncultured bacterium. RNAcentral describes it as "partial 16S ribosomal RNA". It matches the Rfam family "Bacterial small subunit ribosomal RNA", at positions 29 to 507 of the family's 1533-position model. The record is from RNAcentral.
AGCGAACGCUGGCGGCAGGCCUAACACAUGCGAGUCGAACGAACUCUUCGGAGUUAGUGGCGGACGGGUGAGUAACACGUGGGAACGUGCCUUUUGGUUCGGAAUAACUCAGGGAAACUUGUGCUAAUACCGAAUGUGCCCUUCGGGGGAAAGAUUUAUCGCCAUUAGAGCGGCCCGCGUCUGAUUAGCUAGUUGGUGAGGUAACGGCUCACCAAGGCGACGAUCAGUAGCUGGUCUGAGAGGAUGACCAGCCACACUGGGACUGAGACACGGCCCAGACUCCUACGGGAGGCAGCAGUGGGGAAUAUUGCGCAAUGGGCGAAAGCCUGACGCAGCCAUGCCGCGUGAAUGAUGAAGGUCUUAGGAUUGUAAAAUUCUUUCACCGGGGACGAUAAUGACGGUACCCGGAGAAGAAGCCCCGGCUAACUUCGUG